This 254-nucleotide ribosomal RNA is filed under the name uncultured bacterium. Its description in RNAcentral is "partial 16S ribosomal RNA". It matches the Rfam family "Bacterial small subunit ribosomal RNA", at positions 524 to 776 of the family's 1533-position model. The record is from RNAcentral.
UACGUAGGGUGCAAGCGUUUAAUCGGAAUUACUGGGCGUAAAGCGUGCGCAGGCGGUUAUGUAAGACAGGUGUGAAAUCCCCGGGCUUAACCUGGGAACUGCAUUUGUGACUGCAUAGCUAGAGUACGGUAGAGGGGGAUGGAAUUCCGCGUGUAGCAGUGAAAUGCGUAGAUAUGCGGAGGAACACCGAUGGCGAAGGCAAUCCCCUGGACCUGUACUGACGCUCAUGCACGAAGGCCAGGGGAGCAAACGGG